AGGGGUGUAGCUCAGUAGGGAGAGCAGCGGUCUCCAAAACCGCAGGUCGGGGGUUCGAGUCCUCCCGCCCCUGCCA
This 76-nucleotide transfer RNA is filed under the name Chloroflexota bacterium. RNAcentral describes it as "Chloroflexi bacterium (cold seep metagenome) tRNA-Trp". It matches the Rfam family "tRNA". Rfam says of the family: Transfer RNA (tRNA) molecules are approximately 80 nucleotides in length. Their secondary structure includes four short double-helical elements and three loops (D, anti-codon, and T loops). Further hydrogen bonds mediate the characteristic L-shaped molecular structure. tRNAs have two regions of fundamental functional importance: the anti-codon, which is responsible for specific mRNA codon recognition, and the 3' end, to which the tRNAs corresponding amino acid is attached (by aminoacyl-tRNA synthetases). tRNAs cope with the degeneracy of the genetic code in two manners: having more than one tRNA (with a specific anti-codon) for a particular amino acid; and 'wobble' base-pairing, i.e. permitting non-standard base-pairing at the 3rd anti-codon position. The record is from RNAcentral. Lineage: Bacteria; Bacillati; Chloroflexota.